AUGCCAUUUUCUGAUGGUGCGAGCACGUCUCUGCUUCCCAAACCUCCCCAAACCUCCCCAAACCUUCCCAAACCUUCCCAAACUGUCCUGGCACGGGGUCCCUGCGGGGUGNNNNNNNNNNCCUUCCCAAACUGUCCUGGCACGGGGUCCCAGCUGCGCUUCCUCCCUGCGGGGUGUUGGGGAAAGCGCGGCGCUGUGCCCGUGGCGUGGCGUGCCGGCAGAUGGCAGCCCCAGCGUGGGUCCUGGCUGUCACCACGGGCUGGCAGCGCUGGCACCGCGCUCCCUCCGCUUGGGGCAGGACCCUCAGCUGGGGCUGUGUGGUGUCACUGUCCCCCGUUGUCACCCCUCGGGGACACAGCUGAGCCCCCCAAUCCUUCACCAUGCUCCCAGCACCACCACCUCACCCUAUAUCCCUGCCAUUCCCCGGGCAGGAUCACUGCCCCAGCCUCAUCCCCACACCAAAACCGACCCCGCACCGGGGAUAACGCCCCCCCCAGUGCCCCCUGCUCCCACCCUGAGGACCGGGGAGCGCUCCUGGCACGGCACAGCCCACGUGCGCCUGCGGCCGCUUCACCUGCGCAGCACAAAGGCAGCGCUGUUCGGCCUCCCCGUGCCACAGCCCCAGCACAAAGCGCUGCCUGUUGCAGCGGGGCCGCCCCGCGCCCUGUGGCCGGCGGUGUCCGGGGGCUCCCGUGGUGCCGGGGGGGGGGGCCGGGGGCACCGGUGGCAGCAGGGACAGCACGGCCAAAACCAGCCCCGGUGCCCUUGCGCAGGGCUGAACGGGGACAGCGUCUGCGCGCCCUGGUUUUGGGGUGUUUGUUGCCCCCAGGGCUGUCUCCUCUGCGCCCCCCCAGCAAGGCGGUGCUGUGCCAUGGCUGGAUGCGUGCUGGGGACCGCGGUGUCCCCAUCCUGGUGUCCCCAUCCUGGUGUCCCAAGGGGCAGCUGCUGCUUGCCCAGCCUGGCUCCAGGCCCACGGGGGACACGCUGCAUGCCACGUGGUGCCGGCGGCAGGGAGGAGGGCACGCUGCCGUGGUGGCAGCCCCGGGGACCUUGAGCUCCUGGCGCUGCCUGGAGACGUCCCCGCUGCCUGCUGGCGCCAGGCAAACACGGGUGACGCAGCACGGCCCCCGGGGGCACCGGCAGCUCCCGCAGCAGGGCCGGGCACCUGCUCCUGCUGCGCACCCCGGUAGCACCCACGGACGUCCCCAACCUUUGGGCACCGACCCUUGCCGGGGCUGUGCCACGUCCCCGCAGCUGGUGGCGUUCCCAGUAGCGAGAGGGAAGGCGCUGGCAGGGCUGGGGCACGGCGUGUGCGUGCCAAAAUCCCGCGCGGGGCACGGUGCUCUCAAGGAGAGCGGGUCACCCGCCUCCCCCAGCCACCGCCACGGAGCCAUUUCAGGCCCUGAAUAA
RNAcentral lists this long non-coding RNA (1410 nucleotides) under Anas zonorhyncha (Eastern spot-billed duck). Its description in RNAcentral is "lncRNA (ENSAZOG00000000897.1)". Lineage: Eukaryota; Metazoa; Chordata; Aves; Anseriformes; Anatidae. The record is from RNAcentral.